Molecule: unclassified non-coding RNA, 391 nt
Filed under: soil metagenome
Description: partial contains 5.8S ribosomal RNA, internal transcribed spacer 2, and large subunit ribosomal RNA
Rfam family: 5.8S ribosomal RNA (bases 1-122)
Source: RNAcentral
GAUGAAGAACGUAGCGAAAUGCGAUACUUGGUGUGAAUUGCAGAAUCCCGUGAACCAUCGAGUCUUUGAACGCAAGUUGCGCCCGAAGCCAUUAGGCCGAGGGCACGCCUGCCUGGGCGUCACACGUCGUUGCCCCCCCAUCUACUCCUUCGGGAUUGCGGGGGGCGGAUGAUGGCCUCCCGUGCGCCUCGUCGCGCGGUUGGCCUAAAUGCCAAGUCCUCGGCGACGCACGCCACGACAAUCGGUGGUUGCGAAACCUCGGUUGCCUGUCGUGUGCGGUCGUCGCGCAUCGAGGGCUCGAAAAAAUUGCCGGGCUUCGGCUCGACUUUCAACGCGACCCCAGGUCAGGCGGGGUUACCCGCUGAAUUUAAGCAUAUCAGUAAGCGGAGGA